RNAcentral lists this transfer RNA (72 nucleotides) under Phakopsora pachyrhizi. RNAcentral's name for it is "tRNA-Tyr". Lineage: Eukaryota; Fungi; Basidiomycota; Pucciniomycetes; Pucciniales; Phakopsoraceae. The record is from RNAcentral.
GGGCACUUAGCUCAGUGUUUAGAGCUUCACUCUAUAAUUUUGAGGUUUCAGGUUCAAUUGCUGCAGUUUACA